Parelaphostrongylus tenuis is the source of this 73-nucleotide non-coding RNA. Lineage: Eukaryota; Metazoa; Nematoda; Chromadorea; Rhabditida; Metastrongylidae. The record is from the annotation of a GenBank genome assembly.
GCGUUGGUAGUGCAAUGGUUCGAACACGCACCUCUGAUGGGGUGAAAUGUGGGUUCGAGUCCAAACUGACGCA